GAAAAGGAAAGAGGUUCAGUCAGACUCAUUCACCAAACAAGCUACAUGCAAGGAAGAACAGCAAGCAGUCACAACCGCAAGAUCAACUCUACAAUUUUCUCCAAACACACCAAUAGUCGAGGGGGAUGUGGGAAGAUUCUAAAGAGAUCUCUUUUACACAAUCACAGUUUGAUGUUUCUUUUACCCCUCUGGCCCGGUGGAUGGUCUUAACCGAGUAGGCAUCACACUUCCCGCCAAAACGUUCCAAAGAAGUCGAAGACCAGCUUGCGGAGGAGGAGGCGGAGGAGGAAGUUUUAAAACCGCAAAAGACUCCUGCCGUUGAAUAAUUGUUCCCGGACAAAAUUGUCGAAAAAGAGGUCGAAUGUCCCUCCGUUGAAGACUUGCUUGCGGAGGCUGCUGAGGCUUUUCUUUCGCCGGAGAGUCCACAGGAGCCCGCCGUGAAGUCGUUGAAGGCUCGCUUGUUGCGGAUGUGAAGGCUUUUCUUCCAUCAAAGAGUUCAGACAACGAAGGCUUGCUCGAGGACAACAGCAUCGAAAAGAUGGCGAAAGUCCUACACGCUGUAAGUUCUUUUUGCAUUCUGGACGUUUUUCCUUAAAGCUCCCGAGUUUUGACGAGAUCCUCACUCUAGCCCAUCUUCCCCACAAAUGAUUUUCGCGCGCUGAGUAGUAGGCGGGGUCUGAUUCCGGAGGUGGGGGUCUGUUUCCGAGUGUGAGCGUGAGAGUAUCGAAUGAAAACGACAGCGCCACAUGUGGAUAAAGCGUAUCGUGUUUUUCCACACUUUAUUGUUACAACCCAUAAAGCCAACGAACAAUAAAGAUGGUAACUUUGUUUAGAAAUAUUUAUUCAUACCGUAAAUGUGUUGUUUAUUACGCUGUUACAUGAAUACUAAUAACUCUUAAAGUUUUGUCCAUUUUAUAGCAAUGAAAAGUGUUGAUAAAAAAAAACUAGUAAUCAAUGUUUUGAGGACGGUCAAAAUAGCGGUAAUAAAUAUAAACAAAACAACACCAAAGCUUUCUUGAUGUGUUAAGAAAGCCACACAUAUGUACAAAACACAUUAACGUCUUACAACCCAUAAUGCCAAUGAACAAUAAAGAUGGUAACUUUGUUUAGAAAUAUUUAUUCAUACCGUAAAUGUGCUGUUUAUUACGUUGUUACAUGAACACUGAUAACUCUUAAAGUUUUGUCCAUUUUUAUAGCAAUGAAAAGUGUUGAUUAAAAAAAAAACUAGUAAUCAACGUUUUGAGGACGGUCAAAAUAGCGGUAAUAAAUAUAAACAAAACAACACCAAAGCUUUCUCGAUGUGUUAAGAAAGCCACACAUAUGUACAAAACACAUUAAUGUCUUACAAACAACAAGCGUUUUGCCUCUAACAAUAAACGCUCUAAAACAUAUACGAAUUAAAACAUAUAAAAAAACAUAUUUUAAAAACUCAUAUAAUA
This is a long non-coding RNA of Nerophis lumbriciformis (worm pipefish), 1439 nucleotides long. RefSeq lists it as uncharacterized. Lineage: Eukaryota; Metazoa; Chordata; Actinopteri; Syngnathiformes; Syngnathidae. The record is from RefSeq and is a predicted model, not a curated record.